GAGUUUGAUCGGAAUGUGCACUUACUAACUUUGCAGAGAGCCACGUUGGCGGCCGACAACGUGACAUCGGAAGUUAGUACGCGUUAUAUUUCAUUACUUUCGCUUAAUUAGUUGGUUUAUAUCCUCUAAGAGGGUUCAAUAGUAUAGGGUUUAUUAACCUAUGUUUGUUUUUGUGUUGCAGUUCAAGAUGCCUACGACUCGUUCUGGAACUGCCGGGGCGGCUGAGGCAGCCGCUGCGGAAGAAGUUGAGACUUCCGUCACUUCGGGGUCCAGUGAGCUCCAUGAGUUGCAGGAUCAGCUUGCGACGUUGACAGAGUUGGUUACUCAGCAGGCCGCGGCAGCACGACAGCAGAUGGACGCUGCGCGUCGGCAGGAGGACAGGAUGAAGAGGUUAGAGGAUCUGUUACUGCGGCAGACGACCGACAGAGAGAUUCCAGNN
Molecule: long non-coding RNA, 439 nt
Filed under: Ananas comosus (pineapple)
Lineage: Eukaryota; Viridiplantae; Streptophyta; Magnoliopsida; Poales; Bromeliaceae
Description: long non-coding RNA (ACOM_LNC005745)
Source: RNAcentral